This 497-nucleotide ribosomal RNA is filed under the name uncultured bacterium. RNAcentral describes it as "partial 16S ribosomal RNA". It matches the Rfam family "Bacterial small subunit ribosomal RNA", at positions 38 to 507 of the family's 1533-position model. The record is from RNAcentral.
GGGGGGGGGGGGGGGGGGGGCGGGGGCGGGCGGGGCGGGCGGACGGACGAGGAGCGUGCUCCGCGGACGUUAGCGGCGGACGGGGGAGUAACACGUGGAUAACCUACCUAUAAGACUGGGAUAACUUCGGGAAACCGGAGCUAAUACCGGAUAAUAUAUUGAACCGCAUGGUUCAAUAGUGAAAGACGGUUUUGCUGUCACUUAUAGAUGGAUCCGCGCCGCAUUAGCUAGUUGGUAAGGUAACGGCUUACCAAGGCAACGAUGCGUAGCCGACCUGAGAGGGUGAUCGGCCACACUGGAACUGAGACACGGUCCAGACUCCUACGGGAGGCAGCAGUAGGGAAUCUUCCGCAAUGGGCGAAAGCCUGACGGAGCAACGCCGCGUGAGUGAUGAAGGUCUUCGGAUCGUAAAACUCUGUUAUUAGGGAAGAACAAAUGUGUAAGUAACUAUGCACGUCUUGACGGUACCUAAUCAGAAAGCCACGGCUAACUACGUG